AACGCGAAGAACCUUACCCAGACUUGACAUGCAGUGGACGGUGCCAGAAAUGGCAAUUUCCUUCGGGACCGCUGCACAGGUGCUGCAUGGCUGUCGUCAGCUCGUGCCGUGAGGUGUUGGGUUAAGUCCCGCAACGAGCGCAACCCUUAUCGUCAGUUGCCAACAUUUUAGGUGGGAACUCUGGCGAGACUGCCUGGGUUAACCAGGAGGAAGGUGAGGAUGACGUCAAGUCCGCAUGGCCCUUAUGUCUGGGGCUACACACGUGCUACAAUGGUCGGUACAGAAGGCAGCGAAGCCGCGAGGUGGAGCAAAUCCCUAAAACCGAUCCCAGUUCGGAUUGGAGUCUGCAACUCGACUCCAUGAAGCCGGAAUUGCUAGUAAUGGCGUGUCAGCAAUAACGCCGUGAAUACGUUCCCGGGCCUUGUACACACCGGUAUCUC
RNAcentral lists this ribosomal RNA (440 nucleotides) under uncultured bacterium. Its description in RNAcentral is "bacterial SSU rRNA". It matches the Rfam family "Bacterial small subunit ribosomal RNA", at positions 958 to 1400 of the family's 1533-position model. The record is from RNAcentral.